This 497-nucleotide ribosomal RNA is filed under the name uncultured bacterium. RNAcentral describes it as "partial 16S ribosomal RNA". It matches the Rfam family "Bacterial small subunit ribosomal RNA", at positions 28 to 507 of the family's 1533-position model. The record is from RNAcentral.
GAUGAACGCUGGCGGCGUGCUUAAUACAUGCAAGUCGAACGAACAGGCGAUGAUCUUGCUGCGCUCACGUUAGCGGCGCGGGUGAGUAAAACGUGUGUAUAACCCACCUGUAAGUCUGGUAUAACCUCGAGACACCGGAUAUAAUACGGUAGAAGAUCUUGCUCCGCGGGGGUCGUUAGAAAGAUACGGUUUUUCUGGCACUUAUCGAUGCAUCUACGCCUCAUUAGCUAGUAGGUAAGGUAACGGCUUACCAAGGCAACGAGGCGUAGCCGAGCUGUGAGAGUGAUAGGCCGCACUGGAGCUUGGACGCGGUCCAGAGUCCUACGGGAGGGAGCAGUAGGGAAUCGGCGGCAAUGGGCGAGAGCAUGACGCAGCAACGCCGCGUGAGUGAUGAAGGUCUUCGGAUCGUAAAGAUCGGUUAUUAGGGAAGAACAACUGUGUAAGGAGAUAUGGACGUCUUGACGGUAAUUAAUAAGAAAGCACCGGCUAACUACGUG